AAUGAACGCUGGCGGCAGGCUUAACACAUGCAAGUCGAGCGAGAACGGCACUUCGGUGCUUAUUAGAGCGGCAAACGGGUGAGUAACACGUGGGAAUGUACCUUUCGGUCUGGGAUAGCCCUGGGAAACUGGGAUUAAUACCGGAUACGUACUACGGUAGAAAGAUUUAUCGCCGAAAGAUCAGCCCGCGUUAGAUUAGCUUGUUGGUGAGGUAAUGGCUCACCAAGGCUACGAUCUAUAGCUGGUUUGAGAGGAUGAUCAGCCACACUGGGACUGAGAUACGGCCCAG
RNAcentral lists this ribosomal RNA (289 nucleotides) under uncultured bacterium. RNAcentral describes it as "partial 16S ribosomal RNA". It matches the Rfam family "Bacterial small subunit ribosomal RNA", at positions 29 to 334 of the family's 1533-position model. The record is from RNAcentral.